UGAAUUUGGCGGUAUUUUAGUCUUUUUAUAGGAACCUGUCCUGUUAUUGAUAUUCCACGAUUAAUUGUACUUAUUUUAUUAGUUUAUAUAUCGUCGUAGGUUGAAUGUUUUAUAAGAAUUUUGAAUGUUCAUAAUUUGGUUUAACAAAAGAUAUCAGAUCAAGGUGUAGCUUAUAAGUAAGAAGAGAUGGGUUACAAUAAAUUUAUUUGUAUGGUUAAAAUAAUUAACAUUAUUUUAUAAAUUGGAUUUGAUUGUAAUAUGGUUUAGUUAAAUUAUAUGAUUAUAGCUCUAAAAUAUGUACAUAUCGCCCGUCACUCCCACUUUAAGGUGGGAUAAGUCGUAACAAAGUAGGCUUACUGGAAAGUGUGCCUAGAAUGAUCAAAUUAGAGCUUGUUAUAAAGUUUUUUAUUUACAUUAAAAAGUUAGUUGUGAAAAUCAAUUUAAUUUGAAGAUGAGAAAUUUAUUGUUUUAUAUGAAAAUAAGAUAUUAUUUAUUUUUAGUAUUAUUAUAGAAUAGAAAGUUUAAAAUUAUAGUUGAUUAGUAUAGUGUUAGGAUAUUGAAAUAUUUGAAAUAGUUAGUUUGUUAAAAGAAGAAUUUGGUUUUUGUACCUUGUGUAUCAGGGUUUAUUAAAAAUAGUUUAAUUAUUUAGUGUUCUCGAAUUUUUAAGAGCUAAUAAGUUAUAGAUUUAAUUGUUGAAUAAAUUUUUAAAAUAAAUUAUUAGUAAUGAAACGUUAGUCGUUUAAAAAUAUAUCUAGUUUUUUAAGAAAUAAAUUUAAUUUAGUUAUUUAAAAGUUAUAAUUUUAAGUGUUUAAUUUUAUAUUUUAAAUAUGUAAUGUUUUAAGGGAUAAGCUUUAGAAUAGAUAAUUAAAAAUUAUUAUUGUAGGUAGAGUUAGUAGAAUUAGAAGUGUUUAGUUUUUAGUGUGUUAUAAUUAACUUUUUUUAUUAAUAUGAUUUAUAUUGAUUUUAGUUGUUUUAUUGAAGUAAUUUAUUUAAUAUUGAAAUGUAUGUAAUAAUGAUAGAAUUAGUAUAAUAUUUAUUUUUUUAUUAAUUUGUAGUUUAAAGGUUAAAUUAAGGAACUCGGCAAAUAAAUUUUUCGCCUGUUUAUUAAAAACAUGUCUUUUUGAUUAUAAUUUAAAGUCUGACCUGCCCACUGAGGAUUUAAAUGGCCGCGGUAUUUUGACCGUGCAAAGGUAGCAUAAUAAUUAGUUUUUUAAUUGGAAGCUGGAAUGAAUGGUUGGACGAGAAAAUUACUGUCUCAAUUUAAAUUUAUUAGAACUUUAUUUUUAAGUCAAAAAGCUUAACUGAGUUUAAAAGACGAGAAGACC
This 1325-nucleotide ribosomal RNA is filed under the name Odontria sp. NLG-2014. RNAcentral's name for it is "partial 16S ribosomal RNA". The record is from RNAcentral. Lineage: Eukaryota; Metazoa; Arthropoda; Insecta; Coleoptera; Scarabaeidae.